Molecule: ribosomal RNA, 244 nt
Filed under: uncultured Actinomycetales bacterium
Lineage: Bacteria; Bacillati; Actinomycetota; Actinomycetes; Actinomycetales
Description: partial 16S ribosomal RNA
Rfam family: Bacterial small subunit ribosomal RNA
Source: RNAcentral
GCUCGAGUGGCGAACGGAUGAGUAACACGUGAGUAACCUGCCCUUGACUUUGGGAUAACUUCAGGAAACUGGGGCUAAUACCGGAUAGGAGCUCCUGCUGCAUGGUGGGGGUUGGAAAGUUUCGGCGGUUGGGGAUGGACUCGCGGCUUAUCAGCUUGUUGGUGGGGUAGUGGCUUACCAAGGCUUUGACGGGUAGCCGGCCUGAGAGGGUGACCGGCCACAUUGGGACUGAGAUACGGCCCAG